This 668-nucleotide long non-coding RNA is filed under the name Homo sapiens (human). RNAcentral's name for it is "novel transcript". The record is from RNAcentral. Lineage: Eukaryota; Metazoa; Chordata; Mammalia; Primates; Hominidae.
GGCGACCACCACCGAGGAUGGGAAAGGAUGACAUUGGAAGGGAAUUUGCAGCCCUCCUGAUCUCCAGAUGAAGAGCUUAUGGAUAUGAAAAGGCUUUCCCAAAGAAGCCAUGGAGUAGAAUCCAGGUCUCCCAGUUCGUGAUCAGUCUUCCAUCUCCCUGGUGGGCCAGAGAUAUUUCAAGUUGGCAGAGUCAAGCAUGAGCAAGGAGAUGGUGUGGGGCAGAGUGUGAACCAUAUAUUCCUAGACCCCAGUGAUGAAGGCUAAAUGAGACAAUAUACGUCAUGCAUCUUGCACUUCCUGCCACACAGAGCUUCCAUGGAUACUGAAAGAUCAGCUGACACGUGCCUUCAAGGCUAAAAUGAAUGUGGAUAUCAAUAGUGAUGAGAAGAAAUGGUCUAAAAUAAAGAAACAGCAUGUGCAAAAGUGAAGAUUAUGAUGCUAUGUCAGUUACCUUCAGGACCCAAUUGUAGCCACUUCAGCUGGCCCAGGCUUUCCCGAAAUGUGAAGACAGCAAACUCCCACUCUUCCUCCUGCAGACUGGUGGCAAAAACACAAAGUCCACUUGAGACCAUGAAGUCCAAGGAUCUUUUCUUAUUCCUGGAAUAUACUAGGAAAAAUACAGGUAGAAACAUCACAAAGAAAUGUCACAAUAAAUUAAAUUGCUUCAA